CGGCACACUGAUCGGCAAAACUUGAGGUGACCUUAUUGGAGAAUCGGAUCGUGGGAUUCUUCUCCUCGAUGAGUUUCAAAAACUGCGCCGUCGUGAUUAUGCGCUUGUCGGCGUUAGGUCUCAAGCCGAAGAUGGUACGAAUGAGAAUAACGAAUUCGAGAAGUAAAAGGGUGAAGAAGACUGCGGUCAUUGUGUGGAGGUGGGAGAAGAACUCGGAGAGAGCUCCCAUGGCUCCCGG
Molecule: unclassified non-coding RNA, 238 nt
Filed under: Hevea brasiliensis (rubber tree)
Lineage: Eukaryota; Viridiplantae; Streptophyta; Magnoliopsida; Malpighiales; Euphorbiaceae
Source: RNAcentral